UAUUCUGAACAAUUUCUGGACAAUCAGGUCGUGAAUCAGCAUUUUGCUCACCGAUCGGAGCAUUCUCUACCAACUUGCCGUCGAGAAUCUCACUCUGCUCGAGCUUAAGCUCUUUCUACGCCUCUUCUUCACCUCCGGGCUCUCCUCCAAGUCGGAUAUUUUGCUCAUUUUCCGAUCAAAGUCGCCGGCUUUCGAACGGGUCGUCGCCGAGAAGAACGACUCGUUCUUGAAAAUCAUCCUCGGCC
Ipomoea nil (Japanese morning glory) is the source of this 245-nucleotide long non-coding RNA. RefSeq lists it as uncharacterized. NCBI's taxonomy places the organism in Eukaryota, Viridiplantae, Streptophyta, Magnoliopsida, Solanales, Convolvulaceae. The transcript has 3 exons. The record is from RefSeq and is a predicted model, not a curated record.